UUGUUUUUUUAGAUACCGUGUUAAUUUCGACAGAAUGUUUAUGAUAUAAGAUUUUAAACUAUUGUGUAGCUGUUGUAUACAUAGGACUACCCAAAACGUCAUUGACUUGGAACAGCGUUGAAUUGUCUUAGGCCGGGUAUUUGUGUUUGGAGAAUCAGUCGUGCAUAAAACCGGUUUUAAAAAUGACCUGAAUGUUUUCAGGAACCAUCUGCGCAUAAAUCUAUAAUUAUCUCGUCUCUUGUAUUUCGUUUCCAAAGGAAUAACAAAAAUACUGGAGUUUCAGGUGUCUUGAUUUUGUGGAUUUUGAAAGUCAUGACGGGAAGCUGCACUUGAAGAAUCGUCUGCAAAAAUAUCGAUGUACAAAUGUCUUCAACGUGGGUCCUUCCUGGUGAUGCUUAAUUAGCCGACGAGGAAGUAAGGGAGAUGAGGUGAGAUAUUAUUCCUUUUCUUGCAUGUAGAGUGAAAAGCUCAUUCUUAUUUUUAUCGCACACUAACCAAGGCUCCAAUAACUAAACAUUCAAUAUUUCUAAAAAAAAAAAAAACCCACUCUGUCAAUGUCAAUCCGAAUAUUGCCAGACAGCGUCCUUGGAUAAUUUGCCGUAACUUAAUCUUCCAAAAGAAGAUAAUUAAGAAAUCAGAUAAUGAUAAAUGGAAAGUGGAAGAGUGAUUUACUUCUGGCUCAACUUAAUUUUCAAGUUUCAAUAUUUUAGUUGUAUUUUCAAUGGUAGCAAUUUUCAAAACUACCAGCUCCAAUAAUUGGCAUAUGUAAUGAUUGCAUUGAUAAAAGAAAUGCAUUGCUUAUCCGCUAAGAAUUUUUAAAAUGACCAGUUUCUUAUUAAAAAUUCAGUGUCCUACAUUUCAACAGUGCACGAAGAUGUCAUAUGAAAAGUAUAGGUGACAUAUGUAUGAUUAAGCAAAUAGAAUGCUGUUUGUAAUUCCCACAUGAGAGUUAUCGUACGUAGAUAAGAUAAGGAUCUUCAUUUGAUAAGUAUGUUGAAGUGCAAAAAAAAAAAAAAAAAAAAAAAAAAAAAAAAAAAACCAACAACUAUAUAUUAUCAUCAAUACAUCAUUUAGUUAUAAAUUCAGUUCUUUCUAUUUUUCUUCAUUGAAGGUACACGUUUUUAAGUUUCGCACAACAGAUGUUAAGAAAACGUUCUUCAUCUCCAUCUUGUCUGCUUACGUCAUUUGUGUUUCUAUUCGUGAUGAUUUUUGUUUUGACCCAGUUGAUUCCCGGACCUUAUCCAUCAUUUUGUCGGAAUUAUUUUGAAAACAAUUCGUACUUAUCGCUAGAAGAAAUACGAUCCCGUGAAGGAUCAGAAAUUAUCAGAUUUAAAUAUAUUUUCAACCCUCGUGGAAUGUGUAAAACUAGUUCAAGGGUGCUACUACUGCUCGUUCUUGUGAAAUCAAAGGCUGGUAACUUCCGAAAGCGGCGAUACAUCAGAGACACGUGGGGCAAAGAUGCUCGAAAAAGGGGAUACAAAGUUGCAUUUCUUCUUGGAUAUAGCGAAUUGGAUAAAGUGUUUGUGGAUUAUGAAAAUGAGUUUUACAGUGAUGUAAUUCAACAGGACUUCCAGGAAUCUUACUACAACAAUACCCACAAAAUAAAGAUGGCGUUUGAUUGGGUAGUUAACUACUGCAAACGUGCCAAAUAUAUAUUGAUAGUAGACGACGAUAUGUAUUUAAAUAUUCCAAACGCUGUAGGUUAUAUUUCACAAGCUGGUGUAGGCGAGGAUCGUUAUCUUUACAGUGGAUAUUUUCUUCAAGAACCCCUUCCCGACCGUUAUGUCAAAAUAACCCAUCUCCACAACAUGUACAUGUAACAAGCAUGUCUGGACUUGCUCCAAUGUAAGAAACUUCGGGAUGGAUAAAUAACCCACAUUCAGAACCUAGGAAUCCAAGAUGUUUGGUACUGGCCUCUUUGACAUAUUGUGCCUUUGCCAAAGGCUCCAUAGUUAUUCCAUGCCCAAGUGCUUUUGGACAGGUCGAAUUGUCAUCUAUAAGUGAUAUAAAAAAUAACAUGUACUAUUGUUCACUCUAAGAGGAAUUGACAGAAUGUACACAAAAUAUUAUGUAUUACAUGUCCAUUCAUAAUUUUUGCUCCUUUGAUUCAAGACAGACUGUAUGAGCAUUGUAAACAAAAUCUAUAAAUCUUCAAUUAUUUCCAAAAAAUAAGAUUUGUAAAUUAUGUCAUAGUUUUGCCCAAACUGUUUAUGUUCUACUGCAUUAGUUUCUUUACUCACAAAUAUAGAAAGUGUAAACAUGAUCAUGUAUUGAGAUACUUUGAAAUUGUAUGUAUAUUCCCCACCUGAUAUUGAUGAUUUUGCAAGCAAUUGCGUCAGGAGAGAUUAGGUGUCUGUUGUUGGUUUUUUUUCUCAAACUGGCUACUUUUGUGUGAACUGAAUAAAACCUGUGAAUAUCAGUCAUAGAGAAAAUUACGUUUUUCAAUCAAUGCAAGCAAAUCAGAAUAGUAUCAAAAGUUUUUGCCAGGAAUUCAACAUUUUUAAGGAAAUGUAAAUGAGGUACACAUACUAUAUUUAAUAAGUGUAAUCUAAUUGUGAUAUUUCAUUGUUAUACUAGAUCUCUAACUGUAUAAUAAAUUUAAAGUUUG
Ostrea edulis (European flat oyster) is the source of this 2608-nucleotide RNA transcript. It is a transcript of the gene named beta-1,3-galactosyltransferase brn-like, with no coding region annotated. Lineage: Eukaryota; Metazoa; Mollusca; Bivalvia; Ostreida; Ostreidae. The transcript has 4 exons. The record is from RefSeq and is a predicted model, not a curated record.